Molecule: ribosomal RNA, 491 nt
Filed under: uncultured bacterium
Lineage: Bacteria
Description: partial 16S ribosomal RNA
Rfam family: Bacterial small subunit ribosomal RNA
Source: RNAcentral
GAUGAACGCUGGCUACAGGCUUAACACAUGCAAGUCGAGGGGAAACGACGGGGAAGCUUGCUUCCCCGGGCGUCGACCGGCGCACGGGUGAGUAACGCGUAUCCAACCUGCCUCUGACUGAGGGAUAACCCGUCGAAAGUCGGCCUAAUACCUCAUGGUAUCGUCUGCGGGCAUCCAACGACGAUUAAAGAUUUCAUCGGUCAGGGAUGGGGAUGCGUCUGAUUAGCUUGUUGGCGGGGUAACGGCCCACCAAGGCUACGAUCAGUAGGGGUUCUGAGAGGAAGGUCCCCAACAUUGGAACUGAGACACGGUCCAAACUCCUACGGGAGGCAGCAGUGAGGAAUAUUGGUCAAUGGGCGAGAGCCUGAACCAGCCAAGUAGCGUGCAGGAAGACGGCCCUAUGGGUUGUAAACUGCUUUUAUGCGGGGAUAAAGUGAGGGACGUGUCCCUCAUUGCAGGUACCGCAUGAAUAAGGACCGGCUAAUUCCGUG